This 1495-nucleotide ribosomal RNA is filed under the name metagenome. RNAcentral's name for it is "bacterial SSU rRNA". It matches the Rfam family "Bacterial small subunit ribosomal RNA". The record is from RNAcentral.
AGUGUUUGAUCAUGGCUCAGAUUGAACGCUGGCGGUAUGCUUAACACAUGCAAGUCGAACGGUAACAGCAGAAGCUUGCUUCUGGCUGACGAGUGGCGGACGGGUGAGUAACGCGUGGGAAUCUGCCUUAUAGUGGGGGAUAGCCCGGAGAAAUCCGGAUUAAUACCGCAUACGCCCUACGGGGGAAAGUUGGGGAUCUUCGGACAUGACGCUAUUAGAUGAGCCCGCGUUGGAUUAGCUAGUUGGUGGGGUAAUGGCCUACCAAGGCAACGAUCUAUAGCUGGUCUGAGAGGACGAUCAGCCACACUGGGACCGAGACACGGCCCAGACUCCUACGGGAGGCAGCAGUGGGAAUAUUGCACAAUGGGCGCAAGCCUGAUGCAGCAAUACCGCGUGUGUGAAGAAGGCCUGAGGGUUGUAAAGCACUUUCAAUUGUGAAGAAAAGCUUUUGGUUAAUAACCUUGAGUCUUGACAUUAGCAAUACAAGAAGCACCGGCUAACUCCGUGCCAGCAGCCGCGGUAAUACGGAGGGUGCAAGCGUUAAUCGGAAUUACUGGGCGUAAAGCGUACGUAGGCGGUUUACUAAGUCAGAUGUGAAAGCCCCGGGCUUAACCUGGGAACUGCAUUUGGUACUGGUAGGCUAGAGUAUGGUAGAGGGGGGUAGAAUUCAUAGUGUAGCGGUGAAAUGCGUAGAUAUUAUGAGGAAUACCAGUGGCGAAGGCGGCCCCCUGGACCAAUACUGGCGCUGAGGUACGAAAGCGUGGGUAGCGAACAGGAUUAGAUACCCUGGUAGUCCACGCCGUAAACGAUGUCAACUAGCCGUUGGACCUUGAGGUCUCAGUGGUGCAGCUAACGCGUGGAGUUGACCGCCUGGGGAGUACGGCCGCAAGGCUAAAACUCAAAUGAAUUGACGGGGGCCCGCACAAGCGGUGGAGCAUGUGGUUUAAUUCGAUGCAACGCGAAGAACCUUACCUACCCUUGACAUUGACAGAAUCCAGUAGAGAUACAGGAGUGCCUUCGGGCCUGGAAAACAGGUGCUGCAUGGCUGUCGUCAGCUCGUGUCGUGAGAUGUUGGGUUAAGUCCCGCAACGAGCGCAACCCUUAUCCUUAGUUGCCAGCACAUUAUGGUGGGAACUCUAAGGAGACUGCCGGUGAUAAACCGGAGGAAGGUGGGGGUGACGUCAAGUCAUCAUGGCCCUUAUGGGUAGGGCUACACACGUGCUACAAUGGCCAGUACAGAGGGCAGCAAACUCGCGAGAGUAAGCAAAUCCCACAAAGCUGGUCGUAGUCCGGAUUGGAGUCUGCAACUCGACUCCAUGAAGUUGGAAUCGCUAGUAAUCGUGAAUCAGAAUGUCACGGUGAAUACGUUCCCGGGCCUUGUACACACCGCCCGUCACACCAUGGGAGUGGGCUGCAAAAGAAGUGGGUAGUUUAACCUUCGGGAGAACGCUCACCACUUUGUGGUUCAUGACUGGGGUGAAGUCGAAACAAGGUA